UCUCCUGUGGCACAACUGGUCAGUGCGCCUGCCUGUGAACCAGAAGGUUGGUGGUUUGAUCUCACCCAGGGGAU
Podarcis lilfordi (Lilford's wall lizard) is the source of this 74-nucleotide non-coding RNA. NCBI's taxonomy places the organism in Eukaryota, Metazoa, Chordata, Lepidosauria, Squamata, Lacertidae. The record is from the annotation of a GenBank genome assembly.